AAUCUGCUAGUAGGUGACCUGCGGAAGGACAUUA
This 34-nucleotide ribosomal RNA is filed under the name Heterodermia diademata. Its description in RNAcentral is "partial 18S ribosomal RNA". Lineage: Eukaryota; Fungi; Ascomycota; Lecanoromycetes; Caliciales; Physciaceae. The record is from RNAcentral.